GACCUCGGAUCAGGUAGGAAUACCCGCUGAACUUAAGCAUAUCAAUAAGCGGAGGAAAAGAAACCAACAGGGAUUGCCUCAGUAACGGCGAGUGAAGCGGCAACAGCUCAAAUUUGAAAUCUGGCCCCCAGGCCCGAGUUGUAAUUUGCAGAGGAUGCUUUUGGCGAGGUGCCUUCCGAGUUCCCUGGAACGGGACGCCAUAGAGGGUGAGAGCCCCGUCUGGUCGGACACCGAGCCUCUGUAAAGCUCCUUCGACGAGUCGAGUAGUUUGGGAAUGCUGCUCUAAAUGGGAGGUAUAUGUCUUCUAAAGCUAAAUACCGGCCAGAGACCGAUAGCGCACAAGUAGAGUGAUCGAAAGAUGAAAAGCACUUUGAAAAGAGAGUUAAAUAGCACGUGAAAUUGUUGAAAGGGAA
This 413-nucleotide ribosomal RNA is filed under the name Paramyrothecium terrestris. RNAcentral's name for it is "LSU rRNA". It matches the Rfam family "Eukaryotic large subunit ribosomal RNA", at positions 1 to 418 of the family's 3401-position model. Lineage: Eukaryota; Fungi; Ascomycota; Sordariomycetes; Hypocreales; Stachybotryaceae. The record is from RNAcentral.